GACGAACGCUGGCGGCGUGCUUAACACAUGCAAGUCGAACGGAAAGGCCCUGCUUUUGUGGGGUGCUCGAGUGGCGAACGGGUGAGUAACACGUGAGUAACCUGCCCUUGACUUUGGGAUAACUUCAGGAAACUGGGGCUAAUACCGGAUAGGAGCUCCUGCUGCAUGGUGGGGGUUGGAAAGUUUCGGCGGUUGGGGAUGGACUCGCGGCUUAUCAGCUUGUUGGUGGGGUAGUGGCUUACCAAGGCUUUGACGGGUAGCCGGCCUGAGAGGGUGACCGGCCACAUUGGGACUGGGAUAGGCCCAGACUCCUACGGGAGGCAGCAGUGGGGAAUAUUGCACAAUGGGCGGAAGCCUGAUGCAGCAACGCCGCGUGCGGGAUGACGGCCUUCGGGUUGUAAACCGCUUUCGCCUGUGACGAAGCGUGAGUGACGGUAAUGGGUAAAGAAGCACCGGCUAACUACGUG
This 467-nucleotide ribosomal RNA is filed under the name uncultured bacterium. Its description in RNAcentral is "partial 16S ribosomal RNA". It matches the Rfam family "Bacterial small subunit ribosomal RNA", at positions 28 to 507 of the family's 1533-position model. The record is from RNAcentral.